Numida meleagris (helmeted guineafowl) is the source of this 3356-nucleotide long non-coding RNA. RefSeq lists it as uncharacterized. Lineage: Eukaryota; Metazoa; Chordata; Aves; Galliformes; Numididae. The transcript has 3 exons. The record is from RefSeq and is a predicted model, not a curated record.
GCCACCUGAGCAAGGGUCUCCUGUUGGUGAUCCCUCCUUUGUGGAGUCUUUCUGCUAGUCAUGAUCUUGGGAUACAGUGUAAAAGAUUAUCCGGGAAUGCAGAGGGAUCUUCCCUGUAGCAGUCUACCUGGCUAAAUUCAAUUGCAGGUUCCCAAGCCACGUAUUUGGCUUCAAUUCUGGUGUUUGGAUUGACCUGAAAGAUCAAAGCAGAAGACAUCCAAUUCACCAAGAGCAUUAGAACUUACAGCCAAUGCUUUAUAAGUUAGGAAUUUCCACGGAUACAGAAGGGAUAUUGCUUCCAAAAUCUCAUUGACAUCCAGAGGUUUUUGGAUAUGCUUUAAGCUUCUUUCAGAAUCCUAUGCUGAAAUGGUCCAGCUUUGCUUUACUUCCUAAAUAAAUGUAUUUCUCAUUUUAUUUAUUUUAUGUUCUUACUGAUUGUUUAUAUUUAAUGCUUGCACCUCCCUGAGACACACCUUUUGCCCUUUUCAAGUUUGAGUGAUGUUGACAACCUAGGAUAAUUAUACGUGAUCAUUUUUGUUGUAGAAAGUAAUUAUUUGUUAACAAGUAAGUAAUUUCCAUAGGAAUCCACCUCCUUCCAAAAAAUAUAAGCAAAAAGCCGGGCCUUGCAAGCAUGACCAGAAAAUCUUUGGUUUUUGAAAACGUUAUCAACCUUUUUUUCUUCUUGUCAUGAUGUAGUAGGCACGUAAAUGUCACACAGCAAAGGCAGAAGUAUCUGGCUUCCUAAAAGCCUCCAUUUUGAGGAAUAUACUUAAACUUCCUACAAAACAUCAUGGAAUUUUCAUUUUUUUCUUACUGAAAAAUAAAAGUGAAAUAUUUUAAAGCAUUGUAAUAUACAAAUAAUUAACUGGUAGUGUUGUCAGAUCUAGCUCUCCUUCCACCUUUCUGGAAAUAGAAAAACAAUGAAUAGUAUUUUUUGCGAUUAUCAGCGCUUAUUAUUUAAGCAGUGGUUGACGACUUUCCUGACUCUUCAGUUUUCUCUUGACUUUGAACAGCAGCAGCUUACAGACACAAGUGGCCCCACUGCUCUGAGCCACCAUUAGCACUAGAGUUACAAAUAGACUCAGCAGCUGAACUGUUCGAUUCUUUCCAGUCUGUCAUUUGAGGAACUGUAUACGUACAUUACUGUAUCUGAAGUGGGACCUAUAUUUUUUGAGUUCUGGUUCAUGUAGCAUAGAGCUGGAAAUCUUGAAUUCCAUUGUUCUAUCAGAGAUACUGAAUGUGUGCUGCUUUGGGCAAGAACUAUUGGAAGUUGCUGAGCCACAUGUAUCUUGAUGAACGGAUCUAUUGGUCUGUAAAUAACACUCACAUUCCCAUGAAGGAAGUACGUCAAAAUCAGUAAAGCACUACUGUCUCUGUGAAGCAACUGGCACCUGAUCCUGAAGAAUUGUUUUAAUUCCUGUCACAUUCUUAAACUUUCAUUUGUUACUCUGUUAAACAUUAUCAUUUUAUGUUGUAAGGUCUAUUCUGCACCAAACUAUAAGUGGGAAUUGCAAGGGCAGGAAAAAACUCAGAACGGCGUGCAAUCACAUGUACUAUCUUUUUAUUUUCUGUAUGAAUUGUUACGUGAUGUAAAUCAUAGGAUAAUGCUUCACUGGAGAUUUAACUUGCUGACUUAAUUUCCAGAGAACAACAGACUGAUACCAAUGUAUUCUUCACAGAUUUCCCUUCAUUUCCAGUCAUCUUCUGUAUUUCCUUUCCUCUCAUUUUUUGCUCUUCACAAAGUAUUCUGUGUUAUGUCUUUCUUAUUUCACUUGUAAAUACUAGGAGACCAAUUCUGGGAAGCCCUUGAGAAUGGUUUCUUUGACUUAUGGACUUGUUUUGCUGCUGGGGAGAAGUAUAGUGCAGAUAUUUGCAUUAAUAUGUCCUGCAAUAUUUCUUUCCAACAGAUCAUUGCAAUGUGUUAAUAUUGCCAAUAAAUUGUUCCUACCUAACGAUGUUCAUGAAGAGUAAUGCUGGCUGCCAGAAAACUUAAGAUUUUCUAAACUAAACAAACUCAUCCUAAUGGCUGUCCUGGCUUCCCCAGUCCCCACUAAGCCUCUUGACUUAGGUUGAAUUAGUCUUUCAGACAAGAGACUAAAGAACAGAGUGAUGCAAAAUACAGAGAUAAGUGACAUGUAAGGAAGACUAUUAGGACUAGCUUAAGAUGCUCAAGCGCUCUUCUGCCUUAGUUUUCAUGCAUCGUGGGGCAGUGAGUCUAUGCCUGUGAGCAUUCAGAAAAUUUGCUGUGAGGUCCCACAGUUUUGCAGAUCUCAGAAGUUAAUACAAGCACAAACAUUCAAUUUGGAAUAUCUGGUUCAAUCAUUCUCUGCCCUGAUUGCAUGCCAGUGGCCACAAAAAACUCCCAAACCUCCAUUUCCUCAGAUCACAGAAAAGAAAUGUCGAAGUAACAACUGAAAUCCUAUCAGUAUGUCCUGUGUUUAGGUGCAUAUUAUUAUAUAACAACUGCGUAGUGUAAUAUGCUACAUAAUAAAUACCAAAGCCCAAAGUAUUUGCUACAAGAUGGGAAAAGAACUUAAGGAGCUAAUGUGCAUUUUCAGAUAUGUUGUUUUAAUUUUCAUACAGGAGCAGUUGGGGUUAUAACAGGAAGAACCGAAGUGUAUGUCAAGAAUAGCAAAAUAGCAUAAACUUUUCAGAAGCAAUUUGUUUUUAACUUUACGUUAAGGAACUUCACAAAUUCUAUUAAAAUAUGAAGCUUAGAUAUUGUUAAGACUGGAAAUUGCAGUUGUUCCUCCUCUAACCUUUGGUAUUCUCCCCAGUAUCCUCGUUUGUCAAAGGUACUUAAUUCUAUGAGCUCGUUAUUUUUCCUGUACUAAUACAUUUUCCUUAUCUUCUAAUUAACUGCUGCUCCUAGCAUAUUUAUGAUGGCAUGCUCACAUCUAUUCUGGCUUCUUUGCCUUAUUCCAAUGCAGGUCUCCUGCUGCAAUUGACACAGUUGAUGCUUUGACAUUAUUCAUAUUGUCUUCUGGUGCCUUUUGAUAUCUUCCAUAUUUCUAACUGUUUCUGGUUUGGCAAAGAUGGGAAUCCAAAUGCAUAGCUGCUAGCAAAUCUUCCAGCUUAAAUUUGAGAAGGGUCUUAAUAGGUAAAUAAUAUCAAAAUUCCUUCUGUUUUCUAAACGUGUUUUGUAAUUGUUCCUUAAGAUUUCAUUUCUGUGUAAAAUGCAAUGUGAACAGGCAGUACAUUUUUCUAGCUUUUCAACUACAAGCAACAUUUCGCAUGUGACUUCUUGAAACCUCACAUCUCCCAUUUAUGCUAUUAUUGCUACUAAUCUCUUGAGGUUUCAGCUGCAAAUAAUAAAAUUGGUGCAGAAAAUGUGAAGUACUUUCGGUCCUGCUCAA